RNAcentral lists this ribosomal RNA (253 nucleotides) under uncultured bacterium. Its description in RNAcentral is "partial 16S ribosomal RNA". It matches the Rfam family "Bacterial small subunit ribosomal RNA", at positions 524 to 776 of the family's 1533-position model. The record is from RNAcentral.
UACGAAGGGGGCGAGCGUUGUUCGGAUUUACUGGGCGUAAAGGGCGCGUAGGCGGCUCUUCAAGUCAGGCGUGAAAGCCCCGGGCUCAACCUGGGAAUUGCGCUUGGGACUGAUGGGCUGGAGUUCGGGAGAGGAGCGUGGAAUUCCCAGUGUAGAGGUGAAAUUCGUAGAUAUUGGGAAGAACACCGGUGGCGAAGGCGGCGCUCUGGACCGAGACUGACGCUGAGGCGCGAAAGCGUGGGGAGCAAACAGG